RNAcentral lists this ribosomal RNA (484 nucleotides) under uncultured bacterium. RNAcentral's name for it is "partial 16S ribosomal RNA". It matches the Rfam family "Bacterial small subunit ribosomal RNA", at positions 30 to 507 of the family's 1533-position model. The record is from RNAcentral.
AUUGAACGCUGGCGGCAUGCCUAACACAUGCAAGUCGAGCGGAUGAAGGGAGCUUGCUCCUGGAUUCAGCGGCGGACGGGUGAGUAAUGCCUAGGAAUCUGCCUGGUAGUGGGGGAUAACGUCCGGAAACGGGCGCUAAUACCGCAUACGUCCUGAGGGAGAAAGUGGGGGAUCUUCGGACCUCACGCUAUCAGAUGAGCCUAGGUCGGAUUAGCUAGUUGGUGGGGUAAAGGCCCACCAAGGCGACGAUCCGUAACUGGUCUGAGAGGAUGAUCAGUCACACUGGAACUGAGACACGGUCCAGACUCCUACGGGAGGCAGCAGUGGGGAAUAUUGGACAAUGGGCGAAAGCCUGAUCCAGCCAUGCCGCGUGUGUGAAGAAGGUCUUCGGAUUGUAAAGCACUUUAAGUUGGGAGGAAGGGCAGUAAGUUAAUACCUUGCUGUUUUGACGUUACCAAAAGAAUAAGCACCGGCUAACUUCGUG